AGAGAAGGGAAGGGAUUUAGGAAAAGGGAGGGCCCUGGGAUCCUAUAAAAUGCCCCAGCCCCCAGGCCACUUGGUUCUUGGGAUCUGUCACUUCACUUUGUCCAUGCGUUGGUCUUUGCAAUUUCCAGAAUUGCCCAUCCCACGGACCCUACAGAUAAUCAUCCCUCACCCUAUAGCUAUGGAGGCUCAACUAGGAUUCAAAGACUACCAUCCUUAUACAAGGAUUUGCAGACCUGCCCAAGGUUGAUAGAACUGACUGAAAAUCACGAUGAAGGGCUCUAGAUGGAUGGUACGCAGCAACCCCGUGGAAUGAGAUGAUCCCUGGCUGUGAUUAACACAACCAAGUCUCCCAGCCAGCCCAUUAUGUUUCUUUGGGGAUUAGUAAAAGUAAGGAGCCUGAUCUUUGGGGGACUGAUGGCCUUGAACCCAUAUAGCUAAUCAGAGCUACCCCACUCUCCAGGAAUUGGAGGAACCAGGGUAGGGUUCAUACUGCCCUUCUCAAACUAGGAGAUCUUGCCCACCAUCCUAGAGGAAAAAGGCACACUACUAGGGAGCUCUCACUCAUGCCCGCAAAUAUCCAGUUGAUCUUUUUGUCUAUAAAGCUUGGGCAUGACCUAUGAAAGAUUAAUACCCCUUACCCUAUAUUGAAAUAGAGACUGAGCAUCUGCCUUACCCAGAGCCAUGCAAUUGCUUCUUCUGCAGUCCCCUUUCCCUUGGAUAAGUCUUCACCCACUUCACCAGCUGUACAGCUUUUCAACAGACCGAAGAAAUUACAAUGUGGAGCCCGCACUGGUAUAGUAGCUAAUAGUCCGACAGAUUUACAUGGGACAUGUGGUGUAAGAGCCUCUAAUGGGCAUUUCUUCCCACAACUGACACCCCAGAGGCCACAGGAGACUUGCUUCAAUCCUGCAAACUUAGUGUUCGUCAGCUUCUUUACCUCUUAGACCCCUUUCUCCAAGGAAUAAGGAAUAAGUGCUACAUCGUUUGUUUUAAGCGAUAAUGCUACGGAAGAUAACGCUAGAUAUAGGAGCUGUGGGAGACUACAGCCCAGGGGCCUCACGGGCAUGAAAGGGGGGAAGCUGGGAGAUGGUGGGAGCCGAGCUGUGCAGAAUGUCAACUUGGAAUUGUAUCUCUCACUGUUUAGAAGGCUGCUGUGCCUUAAAGGUGAGCCCGCCUGAGCGUGGGCACUGCAUUUGCGGUGCCAGCAAAUGUCAGGCAGCAAAUUGUGACUUCCUUCGGGUGCAUGUGUGUGGGCAAUUACUUUUUAUUUAAAAGAAAAUAAAGCCAAAUGGAAAUGUA
Molecule: long non-coding RNA, 1299 nt
Filed under: Rattus norvegicus (Norway rat)
Lineage: Eukaryota; Metazoa; Chordata; Mammalia; Rodentia; Muridae
Description: long non-coding RNA NONRATT010506
Source: RNAcentral